Molecule: ribosomal RNA, 252 nt
Filed under: uncultured prokaryote
Description: partial 16S ribosomal RNA
Rfam family: Bacterial small subunit ribosomal RNA
Source: RNAcentral
UACGUAGGUGGCAAGCGUUGUCCGGAAUUAUUGGGCGUAAAGGGCGCGUAGGCGGAUAUUUAAGUCAGAAGUGAAAUAUGCGGGCUUAACCCGGAUCAGCAUCUGAUACUGGAUAUCUUGAGUGCAGGAGAGGACAGUGGAAUUCCUAGUGUAGCGGUGAAAUGCGUAGAUAUUAGGAGGAACACCAGUGGCGAAGGCGGCUGUCUGGACUGUAACUGACGCUGAGGCGCGAAAGCGUGGGGAGCAAACAGG